UCUGGUGGUCAAAGCGACAGGGUCCCACCCGGAACCAUGCCGAACCCGGAAGUUAAGCCUGUGAGCGCCGAUGGUACUGUAUGGGGUACAUACGGAAGAGUAGGUCGCCGCCAGAA
This 116-nucleotide ribosomal RNA is filed under the name Fretibacterium sp. OH1220_COT-178. Lineage: Bacteria; Thermotogati; Synergistota; Synergistia; Synergistales; Aminobacteriaceae. The record is from RNAcentral.